AAACAAUUUUCAUUUACUUUGCGUUUUUAAUCAUGGUUAAAGGAUAUGUCAGGCAAGCGCUCGUUAUUAUAUAGACAGGACAAAACGAGACGAGCUGUCUAUCCGUCUGGCAGGAUGUCAACGCAAAUUCAAGUGAAAUGAUGCACAAGGCAGCAAAAAAAAAAAGGAAAAGAAAAGGAGGAAAUAAGAGAGACAAGAAAAAGGAUUGCUACCGGAUGAAUGCACUUCAUUUAAAGUAGAAGUAGAAGUAGAAGUAGAAUACAAGGAAUGCAAUGCUCAUUGUUAGUCAGUGCCAUUGGACAGGGGCAUGAGCGUACACAGAAGGCAGCGCCCAAGUCAAGCCCAAAAGGAUUACAGACGUCGACGGGGUGUGUACUUGUGCUGUCGAUUUUCUCCAUAUCCAUCAUAACCAUUGCUGAUCAUGUUUUGGCAUAUUUGUGGCUUACCCUAAAAGGGUUUCACUCCUCAGGGACUGAAGUUCUAGGGAAAAGUCUGAAAGAAACUUCAGCGGCAGCAUUGAGGGAGGUUUUGGCACGCCAACAAGGCAGAGGCACUUUCUUUGAAUGCGCGAAAGAAGUCUUCGUCACCCACUCAUAGUACAAAUAAAUUCACCCAUAUUUAAGUUAAAUAAUCAGAGUUUAAAAUAUAUUUAAACAUUUGAUGAUUGUUGAUUGAUUUCGUUGACAAAUGUUUGACUGUACAUCAAGG
Molecule: long non-coding RNA, 708 nt
Filed under: Drosophila guanche
Lineage: Eukaryota; Metazoa; Arthropoda; Insecta; Diptera; Drosophilidae
Source: RNAcentral